AUGAGUCUAUCACAAUGUUGU
RNAcentral lists this small nuclear RNA (21 nucleotides) under Arabidopsis thaliana (thale cress). RNAcentral's name for it is "snRNA_11597". Lineage: Eukaryota; Viridiplantae; Streptophyta; Magnoliopsida; Brassicales; Brassicaceae. The record is from RNAcentral.